CAGGGAUGCUGUGCAGAUGGCCAGUACUUGCAGUGUGAGCCAGCUCACUGGUACACAGAAAGCUGGAGUUUGAGAGGAGAGAGCAAAAUACAAAGUGUGUGUCCUAGACUCUCCCAUCUAGCCUUCUCAUGAGAUAGGCCAACAGCCUUCAACAGGUGAUGCUUCCUUCAGUAGCCCCACCUCCCUUGGCUUCUGCCCCUGACCUGGCUCAGGAGUCUUCAUGGGAACAGUGUGCCCUUGUCUUCAUCAAAAGCAGCCCUGCAGGGAGGAGGCUCGGAAGGAACUGGUUAAGAGAUCAGAGUAACUUUUGAGCUAAUGAGGACACUAGGUGACAUCAAGCCCAAACACUUUCUGAACAAGUGGCUGGUCCUGAGAGGUGAUCGAGGUCACACAACUAUAAGAUAUAAGCAGGAACUGAAAAAUCACAUCUCCAGACUCAUCACUUGGGCUUGGCCAUGGACUUGCAUAUCAUUGCUGAGAGAAGUCUCAACAGCAGCUUAAGUACUAUUGAAGACCUCAAGAUGACAAAUUUUCUCCAUCACUUCUAAGGCUGAAUUGUCAUAUCCAAUGUGCUUUAUGACUAUGCUUUGAUUUGUGCUGAUGGAUCUAAGGUGUGCACCUCUGGAGGCUUUGAGGUGGCUAUACUUCAGUUGUGGAUAAAGAGGUGAAGAAGGACAUCUAUGGUGAUGCUCAGUAAUAUCUGCGAAGAACUGUGGAGACAGACAAAUAGUCAAAGGUGAGGUCAGUGCUUGCAAGUAUCUUCUUUUAAAAGAGUUGCCGAAUACCAAGAGGAACAUCAUGGGAAAAAUGCAACAUGAAGAAAGAGGAGAAUUUAUCACUGCAAGAGUUAUUUCAGCUGCAAGUGUUGCUAUCAAUUUUUUCCCUCUCUAGUGGUUCAUUUGAAAUAUGGGAUAGUGAGGGAUUCAUUGCUUUGUGCAUUGGAGGUUUGUUUGUGUGUUCAUUUUCAUUAACAGUCAUAUUUCCUUUCUGAUUUAUGUGAAUUCUUUUUUUUCUUUGUUUGGCAUUGUUUCUGAUUUUUAGCCCUAUAAACACUGAUUUCUCAGGAGUAACCUAAUUUCUAUCUUUUUCUUUUUUAUUUCCAUAUUAUGUCACUUUACAAAAACAAAAAAUUGGUGUCUUGAAAAUCUUUUCCUUAUUAAUCAUAAAGGUAAAGUAGAGUUUCUCUCUAAUGUGGGUUUUGCACUCAGAUGAAUGUUAUACCUUCUGGAUCUCUCUCUCAAGCUAUGUGUAAGCAGAAACCUAUUGUUUUUCCAUUUAACAGUAUGAUUGAUUACAUAUUUAAUUCAUUCCUGUUGUCAUCAGUUCCAGGCAAAUUAAAAGUGUGUAUUUCUGCCUGUCAGGAUAAUGGAGGCACUGGAAAUAACUUUCUAGAACCCUCAUAUUUUGGAUAAAAUUGCUUUCAUUCUCCUUAGCGCUGGAAGUUUCCUCUUAUCAUCUAAUCAAAUCCACUGUCAUCAUAGAAGUAGAUUAUUUGCAGAAUUUCCCUUGAUAGGUUGAUGUUGGCAUUUUUUGUGCCGGGUUAUUUUGCCAAAUUAAAAAAAUGGAUACUUUCUGUGUUAAGCACAAACUCCGUCUUGCUCUUGGAUUGGCCAUUUCUUCUAGACUCACACUCCUUCAGCACUGGCAGAGUAAGUGGAUGGUGGGCCCAGGACAAAAGGCAAAAGGAGGCCACUUUGCCCAGCAUUUGCCUCCUCAAAGAGAGUCACUGGCAGAAUCUAGACUAAUUCACUAGUUAUUUUAUUGGGGUUGAAGGCUGAAGCCCUAAUUGCCCUUGUGCUCUAGACAAUUACUUCCUUUGAGGUCCUGAAGGAGAAGAUGACCAUGGCAGGAUAGGAUGGGAACCCAGGAUCCUGAGUGAUGUUCGGAUAUUAAGUAUUGUAUAGCUAGAGUAGUAUUUGAGUAAAGAACAUAAAUUUGAGAGUUAGGCUCAAAAUGGAGUCACAUCGUUAUCACUUACUAGCUGUGUGGUCAUGGUCAAGUUGUUUAUACUCAGUCAACCUCAGCUUUCUCAUCUGUCCAAUAUAUGUGAUUAUAGUUACUACUUUAUAGCAGUGGUGUAUUAAAUGAGAUACUCUAUAUAAAAAUGUUCAGCUCAGGGCCCAGUACAAGGUACACCCUCAAUACACAUUAUCUGCUAUUAGUAGAACAUUAAUAAUAAUCAUAAUACCAUUAGUGAAAGUUAGAAAGAAGGAUUAAUUUUAAAAAUUCAGUCAGACACUUGGGCUGUUUGGGACAGUCAGAUAAAAUCAAGCAUCGACAAACUCCCUCUUCUACUUUAUUUUCCAUGUCAGAUUUAUCAUGAUCCCUGUGAAAUAGGCACCACAUGUUUUAUUAGGUGAUCAUGACCAUUCAGUAUUUACUUUGGGUUUAGUUGGAACAGACUUAAUAUUUUUGGAAAAUUAAUUUUUAUUUUUCAACCCCACUGUAACUGGUCAGUACCUUUCAGUUAAAUCAAUAAAAUUAAUCAGGUAUGUAAUCUAAUGAUAUAGAGGCUGCAUGAUAAAUACAAGCAUUUUUCCUAAAUCCAACAAAUCUUGGUAAAUUGCAGUCUUGCAAUGUAAUUGGGAAAUUGAGGGUAACAUAUGAAAUAAUAGUGCAAAAAUAAAAACUAUGCCAUGUACAAGAACUUUGCCUUUAAGACUAUUUUGGGAUGUACCUUUCCAACUAUGUCUUGUUUUUUUGUUACUGUUUUUCUAUGAGAAUUCUGGACCUGUUGUAAUUGCUUACUUUCUUAUCAAACACUGUUUGCUUAGAUUUGCCCAGAAAUUAUUAUAUUUGAAGUCUGUCUUUAUGUCAACCCAGAAUAUAAAACUUCCAUUUGACCUGUGACAUCACUAUUAUUUUAAGGACUUAGGUUUGGCAGCUUGCCCAUAAUUUUUCUAACUUUUGACCUUGGCCUCCAUUUUUAGCUUUGCUGUUCUUAAUUUCACACUGACAAUUCCAAAAGACAUUGCCCAACAUAUUGGUAUUGGCAUGGCAUUUAUAUUAUGUUUUACAGUUUAUCAAGGGUUCUCUCAUGUAAUCGGUUUAGUCAAAUGUAUGAUAAGGCACUGAAUUAUGUAGUGUAUAAAGGGCAGGAGUUUUAAGAGUACAGAUAAAACAAAUCAGUAUAUGAUGGAGUAGGGAAGAUUUUAUAAAAUGGGGAGAAUGGAACUGGGCAUUGAAAGUGGGGUGAGAUAGUGUUUAUAUUUCAUAACAUCUAACUUUAUUAAUUUUCUUUUAAUUUAGUUUUUAUAUAACAUAUGAACAUAUGUUCCUUAUAUAACAUUCAAAGAAAACAAAAUAUAUACAGUCUUCCCUUAAAAAUCUUCCCAAUACUGUACCCUUCUUCAGAAGUAGCUACUGUUAAGAGUUCAACAUACAUCACUUUAGUUCUUAAGCAUUUUCACACAUAAAUGUGUACAUGGAUAAGCAAACAUUUUAAAUAGAUGGGCCUAUAUUCUAUUUUAUCCUACAACCUUAUUUUCUCCAUUGACAGUAUCACUUGAUAAUUUUUUUCUUAUGCAUUUUUGUAUGCCAUAAUUAUUUUUCAGGUACCAUAAAAUUUACUCUUAAGUUAAACACUCAGUGGGUUUCAGCACUUUCACAAAGUUGUGCAGCCAUCAAUAAUACUAAUUACAGAACAUUGUCAUCAACCAAAAACAAACAAGGAAACUUCUUUAUUAUUCUUCCCUUCCCCAAACCUCAGGUAAACACUAAUCUAAUUCUGCGUGUAAGAAUUCGCUUGCUAUUGGCAUUUUACAUGAGUAGAAUCUGUGGCCUUUGGCAUCUGCCUUUUCUCACAUAGCAUGUGUUCAAGGCCUAUCCACGUUGUAGCAUAUAUCAGUAAUUCAUUCAUUUUUAUGGCUGAAUAAUACACCAUUGUGUAUAUAUACCAAAUUUUGUUUAUCCAUUUACAAUUAAUGGACAUUUGUGUUGUUUCUACUUUUUAGGUAUUAUGAAUAAUGCUGCUAUGACUAUUCAUGUACAAGUGUUGAUAUGGAUACAUUUUAUGUACAUUUGUUUUCAUCUCUCUUGCAUAUGUGCCUAGGAUUGGAAUUGUUGGGUCACAUUGUAGAACCCGGUUUCAGGCAUGGUAACACUAGCUUUAAGAAACUGCCAUACUGUUUCUCAAUGUGGCUACACCAUUUUACAGUCCCAUCAGAUAUACUGGAAGAUAACCACACAUCCUUGUUAUUGUCUGUUUUUCUGAUAAUAGCCUCUAGUGGGGGUGAAGCAGCACCUCAUUGUGGUUUUGGUUUACAUUUGGAAUAAUGAUGUUGAGCAUCUGUUCAUGUGCUUAUGGGAAUGUGUGUAUCAUCAUCGGAGAAAUGUCUCUUCACACCCUUUGUCCGUUUUGUUGUUGAGUUAUAAGAGUUCUUUAUUCUGGAUACUAGAUCCUUAUCUGGUAUACAACUUGCAAAGAGGUUGUCUUUUCACUUUCUUGAUAAUGUCCUUUGAUGUACAUUUUUACAUUGUUUAGUGAAGUCUAACAUUUUUUGUUUUUACUUGUACUUUUGAUAUUAUAUGUAAGAAACCAUUGCCUAACUCAAGGUCAUGAAGAUUUGUGCAUAUCUUUUCUCAUAAGAGUUUAGAGUCUAAGCUAUUGCUUUUAGAUUUUUCAUCCAUUCUGAUUUAACUUUGGCAGAAGGCGUGAGAUAAUUUUAGAAUCGGCUUGCAACUUUCUGGAAAUAAAUCAGCUGGGAUUUUGAUAGGAAUUGUGUUGAAUGUGUAGAUCAAUUUGAGUAUUGCCAUCUUAACAAUAUUCUUUCAUUCUAUGAACAUAAGGUUUUUAAAAUUUAUUUAGUCUUUGUUAGUUUGCUACUUUCAAUGAUGUUUUACAGUAUUUGGUGCGUAAGUCUUACACUUCUUACACUUUUAAAAUUAUAUUAUUAAUAUAUUCUCUUUGACACUAUUGUAAAUGAAAUUGUUUUCUUAAUUUUAUUUUCAGAUUGUUCAUUACCAGUGUAUAGAAAUACAAUUGGCUUUGGUGUGUUAAUUUUGUAUAUUGCACCCUUGUACAACUUGUUUUUAGCUGUUUUUGUUUUCUUUUGUUCUGUUUUUGUGAAAUCCUUGAGAUUUUUAAAUAGAAAAAAAAAGUCAUAGAGAUUGUUUUACUCUUUUCUUCCUAAUCUAUAUAUCUGUGUUUUAUAGUCUUGCUUAAAUGCCCUGACUAGGACCUCACUUACAAUAUUAGAUAAAAGUAGCAAGAACAGACAUCCUCGUUUUGCUCCUGACCAUAGGGAGCAUGUAGGUAGGUUUAUCAUAAAUAUGCUUUAUCUGAUUGAGGAAGUUAUUUUAUAUUCCUAGUUUGUUAAGGGUUUUUAUCACAGAAAUGUGUUACAUUUUGUCACAUGAUUUUCUUGCAUUCAUUGAGAUAAAAAUGUAUUUUUUGUUAUUUAUUGUAUUCAUAUAAGAUAUUACCUUGAUGGGUUUUCGUAUGUUGAAACAAUUACGAGUUCUUGGGAUAAAACGAACAUGGUCAUUGCGUACAAUUCAUUGUAAAUGCUGCUGUAUUUGGUUUGCUAGCAUUUUGU
This 5537-nucleotide long non-coding RNA is filed under the name Homo sapiens (human). Its description in RNAcentral is "HSALNT0102174". Lineage: Eukaryota; Metazoa; Chordata; Mammalia; Primates; Hominidae. The record is from RNAcentral.